RNAcentral lists this ribosomal RNA (253 nucleotides) under uncultured bacterium. RNAcentral describes it as "partial 16S ribosomal RNA". It matches the Rfam family "Bacterial small subunit ribosomal RNA", at positions 524 to 776 of the family's 1533-position model. The record is from RNAcentral.
UACGUAGGGUGCGAGCGUUAAUCGGAAUUACUGGGCGUAAAGCGUGCGCAGGCGGUUUUGUAAGCCAGUUGUGAAAUCCCCGGGCUUAACCUGGGAAUGGCAUUUGGGACUGCAAGGCUUGAGUGCGGCAGAGGAGACUGGAAUUCCUGGUGUAGCGGUGAAAUGCGCAGAUAUCAGGAGGAACACCGGUGGCGAAGGCGGGUCUCUGGGCCGUAACUGACGCUGAGGAGCGAAGGCCAGGGGAGCAAACGGG